CUUAUAUAACAUUCAAGCAACUGAUUGUAUUCCCUAUCUUCUUCUUUUUUUCACCGUAGGCCGUAGCUUCUUCUUCAUCAUUUUUGUUGGAGAUGGUGUUUAAGAGAUUCCUGUGUUCAAAACUUCUUUUUUCGAAAAAAGAAACUAAGAUCUUUCUCAACAACUUAGAAAGGGUAGAGGAAAGAGAUGGAGAAGAAUCCCAACGGGUUUUGACAAAAAGAAAAGUCCCAACAGACAAGUUCAAAAAAAUGUUUUUUUUUUCUUUUAUCAUUAAUCAAGCAUUUAUAUUUCUACCCAUUACAGAUAUUAAACAUAAGAAUAACUAUUUCUUUG
Molecule: long non-coding RNA, 333 nt
Organism: Raphanus sativus (radish)
Lineage: Eukaryota; Viridiplantae; Streptophyta; Magnoliopsida; Brassicales; Brassicaceae
Exons: 3
Source: RefSeq, a predicted model, not a curated record